Molecule: ribosomal RNA, 253 nt
Filed under: uncultured bacterium
Lineage: Bacteria
Description: partial 16S ribosomal RNA
Rfam family: Bacterial small subunit ribosomal RNA
Source: RNAcentral
UACGGGGGGGGCAAGCGUUGUUCGGAAUUACUGGGCGUAAAGGGCUCGUAGGCGGCCAACUCAGUCGGACGUGAAAUCCCUCGGCUUAACCGGGGAACUGCGUCCGAUACUGGAUGGCUUGAGUGUGGGAGAGGGAUGCGGAAUUCCAGGUGUAGCGGUGAAAUGCGUAGAUAUCUGGAGGAACACCGGUGGCGAAGGCGGCAUCCUGGACCACGACUGACGCUGAGGAGCGAAAGCCAGGGGAGCAAACGGG